RNAcentral lists this ribosomal RNA (253 nucleotides) under uncultured bacterium. RNAcentral's name for it is "partial 16S ribosomal RNA". It matches the Rfam family "Bacterial small subunit ribosomal RNA", at positions 524 to 776 of the family's 1533-position model. The record is from RNAcentral.
UACAGAGGUCUCAAGCGUUGUUCGGAUUCAUUGGGCGUAAAGGGUGCGUAGGCGGCGCGGUAAGUCGGGUGUGAAAUCUCGGAGCUUAACUCCGAAACUGCAUUCGAUACUGCCGUGCUUGAGGACUGGAGAGGAGACUGGAAUUUACGGUGUAGCGGUGAAAUGCGUAGAUAUCGUAAGGAAGACCAGUGGCGAAGGCGGGUCUCUGGACAGUUCCUGACGCUGAGGAGCGAAAGCGUGGGUAGCAAACAGG